Long non-coding RNA from Mus musculus (house mouse), 1477 nucleotides. RefSeq annotates it as predicted gene, 36309. The record is from RefSeq and is a predicted model, not a curated record. NCBI's taxonomy places the organism in Eukaryota, Metazoa, Chordata, Mammalia, Rodentia, Muridae. The transcript is spliced from 4 exons.
GCCUCCUGUACUGACUGACAGAACCCUGAAGAAAUGUACAGGUGUCUGCAGUUCUGUGUAACUAACUCAAGCAUUACAAAGAGGCAUGGUGGACUCUGACCCUAGACCUAGCCCAGGUGGGGAGGACUCAGGAAUGUUUUCCCGCCUGGCACGUACCUUCAAGGUUUCCUCGAAAGUCGGGUCCAGCGUGUUCUUUUGGACUCGUGUCUUGCGUUUUCCCUGAGAAGACCUGUCAGGCAGCAGCUUCAAAGACCCUCAUUCCAGGGACCCCCAUACCCAACUGGGGUGGUCCAUGGCAGCUGGCACCCGAACGUGGGACUCGAAGCAGGUGUGCCAAAAAGAAUUAAAACUGAUAAUGGUCCAGCUUAUACUUCUCAAGCAAAGUUUUGCAUUCAAUGGGGCAUAGAACAUACAACAGAAACUCCAUACAACCCCCAAGAUCAGGCUAUCAUAGAAGACUCAUCAAAAUCUUAAGGUACAACUUCAGAGAUUAAGAUCUAGUGCUCAUUACUACUCGCCUCAUCAAUUACUAAGCCAGGCUUCAUUUACCAUUAAUCACCGUAAUACAGGUGAUAAAGGCUUUACCCCUAUGCAAAGGCAUUGGGCUCCCCUACAGCAGACUGUUACUCGUUUAGUGAUGUGGAAGGAUCUUUUAACAGGCGCAUGGGAAGGGCCAGAUGUGUUCAUCACCUGGGGAAGAGGAUACGCAUGUGUUUUCCACAGAAUGCAGAGACCCCAAUCUGCAUCCCAGGCAGACUUAUUGACCUUCCACCAGAAAACCUCUACCAGAACCCAGAAGCAAAAGAAGGCAAAAGAAGUCAUGAAGAAAAUGAAGAAGCUUGAUCUCUUCUUCACAGGCGGCUUCGGCUCCUCCUGAACGGUCAUCGACCACGGGAUAGAUCCACCCACUUGGGGACAACUGGAGAAACUCACCCAGAGAGCACAACAAAUAAUCUCUAAUAUCGGGAAACCACCACCAGUAGAAAAUAUGCUAUGCUUGCUGAGGUUGCUAUGCAGGUCACCCUUCCCCACUUAUUGGCUGUAGCGCCAUUGGAUAUUGAAUGCUCCUGAGUUUCAGCGCCUCUGCUGGAACUGAACUGCCGCGUGAGUAUACUUGGAGGUGGAGCCUUUGGGAUGUGGUUAUGUUUGAGAGUGGCCCUCGUGGAGUGGGAUUUGUGUUCUUAUAAAGGAGUCCUCAAAGAGCAGCUCUUCCCCCUUUCUCCCAUGGAUUGCUGGCACAGAUGUCCAUCUAUGAACCAGGGAGGUGGUCCUUACCAGAUACCAGCUUUGUCAGCACCUGGACUUCCCAGCAUCCAAAAUGGUGAAGAUAAAUGUCUGCGGCUUCAGUCUCCAGCCUUCUGUUACAGCAACUCAAAUGCUCUAAAACACUCCUUGAGCAUCAGUGGCGGUUUGAAUAUGCUUGGCCCAAGGAGUGGCACUAUUAAGAGGUGUAGUCUUGUUGGAGUAGCUGUGUCAC